RNAcentral lists this ribosomal RNA (577 nucleotides) under uncultured Actinomycetes bacterium. RNAcentral's name for it is "bacterial SSU rRNA". It matches the Rfam family "Bacterial small subunit ribosomal RNA", at positions 232 to 825 of the family's 1533-position model. Lineage: Bacteria; Bacillati; Actinomycetota; Actinomycetes. The record is from RNAcentral.
CGCGGCCUAUCAGCUUGUUGGUGAGGUAACGGCUCACCAAGGCAUCGACGGGUAGCUGGUCUGAGAGGAUGAUCAGCCACACUGGGACUGAGACACGGCCCAGACUCCUACGGGAGGCAGCAGUAGGGAAUAUUGCACAAUGGGCGAAAGCCUGAUGCAGCAACGCCGCGUGCGGGAAGAAGGCCCUAGGGUUGUAAACCGCUUUCAGCAGGGAAGAAAAUGACGGUACCUGCAGAAGAAGGUGCGGCCAACUACGUGCCAGCAGCCGCGGUGACACGUAGGGACCGAGCGUUGUCCGGAUUUAUUGGGCGUAAAGAGCUCGUAGGCGGUUCAGUAAGUCGGGUGUGAAAACUCUGGGCUCAACCCAGAGACGCCACUCGAUACUGCUGUGACUUGAGUCCGGUAGAGGAGUGUGGAAUUCCUGGUGUAGCGGUGAAAUGCGCAGAUAUCAGGAGGAACACCAGCGGCGAAGGCGGCACUCUGGGCCGGUACUGACGCUGAGGAGCGAAAGCAUGGGGAGCAAACAGGAUUAGAUACCCUGGUAGUCCAUGCCGUAAACGUUGGGCACUAGGUAUGG